This 183-nucleotide RNase P RNA is filed under the name Clostridiales bacterium. Its description in RNAcentral is "partial RNase P RNA component class A". It matches the Rfam family "Bacterial RNase P class A", at positions 1 to 184 of the family's 367-position model. From Rfam's summary of the family: Ribonuclease P (RNase P) is a ubiquitous endoribonuclease, found in archaea, bacteria and eukarya as well as chloroplasts and mitochondria. Its best characterised activity is the generation of mature 5'-ends of tRNAs by cleaving the 5'-leader elements of precursor-tRNAs. Cellular RNase Ps are ribonucleoproteins. The record is from RNAcentral. Lineage: Bacteria; Bacillati; Bacillota; Clostridia; Eubacteriales.
UGAGUAACACAGAUGAUCGCGCCGAAAAUUCCGAAAGGAUACCGGUGAGGAAAGUCCGAGCUUCAUAGGGCAAGGGUGCCGGAUAACGUCCGGUAGAGGCGACUCUCAGGAAAGUGCAACAGAAAUAAACCGCCAAAUUAUAUUUGGUAAGGAUGGAAAGGUGGUGUAAGAGACCACCGCUUG